RNAcentral lists this ribosomal RNA (482 nucleotides) under uncultured bacterium. RNAcentral describes it as "partial 16S ribosomal RNA". It matches the Rfam family "Bacterial small subunit ribosomal RNA", at positions 30 to 507 of the family's 1533-position model. The record is from RNAcentral.
AUUGAACGCUGGCGGCAUGCCUUACACAUGCAAGUCGAACGGUAACGGGCCUUCGGGUGCCGACGAGUGGCGAACGGGUGAGUAAUACAACGGAACGUGCCCGAUCGUGGGGGAUAACGAGGCGAAAGCUUUGCUAAUACCGCAUACGAUCUACGGAUGAAAGCAGGGGACCGCAAGGCCUUGCGCGGACGGAGCGGCCGAUGGCAGAUUAGGUAGUUGGUGGGAUAAAAGCUUACCAAGCCGACGAUCUGUAGCUGGUCUGAGAGGAUGAUCAGCCACACUGGGACUGAGACACGGCCCAGACUCCUACGGGAGGCAGCAGUGGGGAAUUUUGGACAAUGGGCGCAAGCCUGAUCCAGCCGUGCCGCGUGCAGGAUGAAGGCCUUCGGGUUGUAAACUGCUUUUGUACGGAACGAAAAGCCUUCUUUUAAUACAGGAGGGUCAUGACGGUACCGUAAGAAUAAGCACCGGCUAACUACGUG